GCUGGUGUAAAUGAUGACUUCACUUUUUUCCCCAUCAUAUCGACCAUGCCGAUAUCUUUGAAAACUUGCCAGUUAGUUCUGAUAUACCGGC
Molecule: non-coding RNA, 91 nt
Organism: Pteropus alecto (black flying fox)
Lineage: Eukaryota; Metazoa; Chordata; Mammalia; Chiroptera; Pteropodidae
Source: Rfam